This 250-nucleotide ribosomal RNA is filed under the name uncultured bacterium. RNAcentral's name for it is "partial 16S ribosomal RNA". It matches the Rfam family "Bacterial small subunit ribosomal RNA", at positions 524 to 773 of the family's 1533-position model. The record is from RNAcentral.
UACGUGUGGAGCAAGCGUUGUUCGGAGUUACUGGGCAUAAAGGGUGCGUAGGCGGCGCGAUAAGUCAGUGGUGAAAUGCUGCGGCCCAACCGCGGAACAGCCAUUGAUACUGUCGUGCUUGGGUAUGCGAGGGGUGGGCGGAACGUGUAGUGUAGCGGUGAAAUGCGUAGAUAUUACACGGAAGGCCGGAGGCGAAGGCGGCCCACUGGCGCGUUACUGACGCUGAAGCACGAAAGCGUGGGGAGCAAAC